UGAUUUGAGAUCGAACGUUCAAAAGUUGUCCUCGCUGGGGAGAGACGUUUAUGAGCCCCAAUGAACCUUCAUCGCUGAGGGUUACCUGACGGACAACCGCGAGCGUAGAUAGUUAUCACACCCGUGACGCCGCCAAACACUGGCAAGCUGAUUCAUUUGAGAGGAGCUGGCCACAAGGCCAGCAAACCCCCAAAGUCCAAGCUCAUCAUGGAAGACCAUGAGAGUUGAGGUGUUCAUGAUACUCAAACAGGCAUGCUCCGAGGAAUAACCAAGGGGCGCAAGGUGCGUUCAAAGAUUCGAUGAUUCACUGAAUUCUGCAAUUCACAUUACUUAUCGCAUUUCGCUGCGUUCUUCAUCGAUGCGAGAGCCAAGAGAUCCGUUGCUGAAAGUUGUAUUGUAUUGCGUUAAACGCGAAAAAACAUUCCAUGAGACAUCGCUACGGUGUGUGUGUAAAGACGUAGAGCUACGGAAGGAAGACAACGUCUCCCGGUCCACAGAACUACAGAGGGUGCACAGGUGUGAGUGGAUGUGUAAACAGAGCGUGCACAUGCCCCGUUCGGGGGCCAGCAACAACCCGUGUUUGACAAUUCGGUAAUGAUCCUUCC
RNAcentral lists this unclassified non-coding RNA (605 nucleotides) under uncultured fungus. Its description in RNAcentral is "sequence contains ITS1, 5.8S rRNA gene, ITS2 and 28S rRNA gene". The record is from RNAcentral. Lineage: Eukaryota; Fungi.